Molecule: RNase P RNA, 303 nt
Filed under: Candidatus Aramenus sulfurataquae
Lineage: Archaea; Thermoproteati; Thermoproteota; Thermoprotei; Sulfolobales; Sulfolobaceae
Description: RNase P RNA component
Rfam family: Archaeal RNase P
About the family: Ribonuclease P (RNase P) is a ubiquitous endoribonuclease, found in archaea, bacteria and eukarya as well as chloroplasts and mitochondria. Its best characterised activity is the generation of mature 5'-ends of tRNAs by cleaving the 5'-leader elements of precursor-tRNAs.
Source: RNAcentral
GGCCGCAGUAGGGGGUCACGGGUAAAGCUGAGGAAACUCCAGCCUCCUAGCCCAGUGGAGUCCCAAUAGGGACAAGGGCAGUCCCCUUGGCCACUGCACAGAAACGACAUCCCUGAGGUCGGAGAUGAAGGUGAUUGGACUCCCAGCGCGGCGACGUGCUGGGAUACAUGAGAUCGACCUCGGGGAAUGAAACGGCAGUCCUCCACGGAGCAAGUUGAGGAGGAGAUGAGCUUGGGCUCGAUCCUCCUCUGGUACGCUAAGUCAAAUCCCCCAAUUUACAGAAGCUGGGUUACUGCUGCGGCC